UAAAUAUUAAUUUUGUACCUUUAUUGGGCAAUACUUAAAAAAUGAUAUAAAGUAUUUUGAGUCAGUGUCUUAUAUGUUAAGAGAGACUGAAAUAGUUUAUAUUAAGUUUGUAUUAAGAUUCUUUAAAAUUAAAAAAAAGAAUAAUAUCUAUGUACAACGGAGAAGCAAUGUAUCUAUGUAUAUGUAGUAUAUUCAUGUGUCAAUAUGACAAAGGAGAUAAUCUGUGUGCGUGUGUGUUUGCUGAGCUGUAGGAUGUGUGUUGUAGAGGCCAGGGAGUGUAUAAGAGAGAGAGAGAAACAGAGAGAGAGAGAGAGAGAGAGAGAGAGAGAGAGAGAGAGAGAGAGUUUAAGGGUAGUGAUGGUCUUAAAUUUGCAAAUGGACAAGAGUCUUUACUUGACUUUGCCUGGGAACUUAUCCGAUGGGACAUGUCCGAGAAGUAAAAAUAAAUAAAAAUAAAACAAAGCAAACAGUCCUGGAAACACAGUGGCCAAGAGAUAAAAAUCAAAACAAGGAGGUCUCUGUACACUGUUGGGCUAUAAAAAGGAGCCAGUCAUCCUGAAACUUUCUGGGCAGCCUUUGAGGUUUAGCACCAGUUGCCCUCUUGCCUCUGGAGAACUGGCAGACUGCAGAGCAAGGGCUGGCAGAGCCUCCAGGCCACACUCUGUCCUACAGCAGACCAGGAACGUGACCUCCUUAACUCUGGGGCCAGGUGGAGCAGGUCCUAUCUGCCUCAUCUUGCACAUUCUCUGAAGGAUGUGGGAGGGAAUGUGGCAUCAGGCUCUGAACUCAGGAGUCUACCUCUUUUUCCUUGACCCCAUUCUGAUUGCUAAGAACUGGCAAAACCAGUUAUAAUCUGCCAUAAAUCAUAAAUAAAGUUGGCGAUUAUACUGAGGCCAAAGGUUGCAGAAUGCAAGGGAAUUGGCACCAAUCAUCUUGGAGAUUCAGUGUUGGGCACCAAAGGAAAUGUCCACAGAAAGUACUAGUGUGCGAUUUAGUAGUGAACGUGCUAAAAACUCAGUGUCCUGCAUGAGUGGAAUGUGUGGGGAAGGGGGAUUUGGGUUCUAGUCCUCUCACUCUGCCUUGUGCUGACCCCUGUAGGGAUCUUUCAAGUGCACUCCCUGAUCUCAGCUUCUGUCUGAAAGGGAAAGAAAGGGACUUGUCCGAGCUCACAGGAGAGCAUGUAGCCCCACAGUGAAUGAGCAGCCUCUGGGGCAGUCAUGCUAAGCUGCUAUUCUAGACUAAUCCACUACAGGGAAUAAUGGAGGGAGAAGUUGAUGGUGACCUGGCGGCUUUGAGGGCCUCCCACACACAAAGUUUGAAGUGCUGUUGGAAUGACCAUGUCCCACAGAGAGCACACUGGGUAGCCCCUAAAUCUGAAAGUCCAGCUGAGCCUGAUGAGCCUGAGUGAAAGCCUGGCAUUUGGGAGCAGCAUCCAUUCCCAUUUCCUUUGAAAACAGAGCAAAACACCCUUUUAAUACUGUGUAUUGCCUUAAGGGUUAGCCAUGCUGGGGAUAUUGCUUAACAGUAAAGCACUUGUCUGCAGGCACGAGGUCCUGGUUCCUGCCCCAGCACCACAUAGGCAGAAUAGAUCAUAAUCUUUCAAGAGUGUCUAUCUGAAAGGAAGGGUCUCCCACUGUCCUGGGUCAGCUAGCAGCUUGAUGACAGAGGUUUGACUGAGUGUCCUUUGCCUUGCUUGACCACUAUCAGUAACGUCCGUCAAGGUGGAGGUCGUGACCGAUUGCUUAUACUAGCUCCACUUUACAGACUUGGGGAGAGUUAUGGAGAAAGGGAGUAACCUUCCCUAGGUUACACAGAUAGGAGGGCACAAUCAGGAUUAAAUCAAGAUGGCCUAGAACUUCAUCCCUGUCCUAGUAGGGAACUAGGUAUGGGUCUUGUGGUUGUUUUAAAUCUAAGACAGGGUUUCUCUGCGUAUUGCUGGCUGUCCUAAAACUCACUCUAUAGACCAGACUGGCCUCAAACUCAGGAGAUCCAUCUGCCUCUGCUUCCUGAGUGUACUACUACUGCCUGGCUUUACUGAACUAUUUUUUUUAAUAAAAUGUAAACUACAUUAUUUACUAAUUACAUGCAUGUGUGCACAUGUACAUGCUUACACAUGUGUGUGUGCAUGCAUGUAUUAGUGUGUGUGAGAGGAUGCCUCAGUGCAGAAGUAGAAGUCAGAGGAUAACUUCCAAAGGUCAAUUACCCUUCCCACCAUGUGGGUCUCUGGGGUUGAACUCAGGACCUCAGACUUAGCAGUGGGUGCCUUUUCCUACUGAGCUACCUCGCUAGCCUGGGACUAUUGAGUUUCAGUUGGAUGCAGGGAGGAUGUGCAGGAUAAGGAGCUUAGCGCUGGGUAUAUCAAAGCUCUGAUAUCAAUUCUUAUCACUCUCUGUGCUGCGACCCGGGCGAUCUUUUGGAGACAGACUCAGUUAAAUCCUUACAAAUCCUUGCUUAUAAAAAACCCAACAGAGCCAGGUGGUGGUGCAUGUCUUUAAUCGCAGCACUCUGGAGGCAGAGACAAGCAAACCUCUGUGAGUUUGAGGCCAGCCUGGUCUAUGGAACAAGUUUCAGGACAACCAGGGCUACAAAGAGAAACCCUGUCUAGAAAAAACAAUCCAACAAUCCAUCCUACGAUAACUCAUUUUCAUUAAAGGAAUGACCAACGUGUUUAAGAAGGCCUUUGGCGUCUGUGCCAGACUGGGCCUCUGCCUGCUGAAGGCCUCUACCCUUUCAUCCCUCAUUCUGGUCCUUCUUUGCCUCCUUUGAGACUUGUGCCUUACCCAGUCCCUCUCCUGAAAGACUUUCUAAUCGAACCCUUUCCCCCUAGGUGCUCAGCCUGCUAUCACCCUGGGAAGCCCGUGACUCCACCUUCCAGGUUUUCCGCAUUGGAGUUUCCAGGAGAAAGGAGCUGUCUUUAACCCUUCCUCUCCCUCCCUCUGAGUGCUGGAUCACAGGUGUAUACUACCUUCAUCUGUAACACUUUGUACCAGCUCCCCUGUCCCAUCCCACCUAAGUCCAUCAGGAUGCACCAACCUAUCUCUGGGAUAAACAUAAGUCCUAGGCUCGUAACAGUCCCUCCAUUUCCCUUCCCUUGCCAAAUGGCUCUGUCGGAUCACCAAGCCCCAGCUAUACAUGUGCCAUAGAUGUACUUCUGUUUAUCAAACAACACUAGAGUAUCUAUUUGUUUACGGUUUAUAUUUUCAUUGAAGUACUUUUAAAUAUUUUAAUUAAUACCAGAAAUGCAUCUCAUCUCUAAUAGAUAACAUUUAAAUACAUACACAUAUGAGAGGGUAUUAAUUAAGUUAGUCUGGGGUCUUUACACUUUUUUUUGGUACUAGAACAGACAGUAAUCUGUGGGUCAGCCAUGCUACACAGGGUAGUCACUACUGCAACCAUUCAAGUAUGACAUCAUGGCUAUAGGUGAUAUAAAAGUAAAUGGGUGUGCCUAUGUUCCAAUAAGAUUUUACUUACAUAGCAAGUGGGUUGUGUUGACUCUUGAGUUAGACAUUGCUGGUAACUAAAUCUGAUGAACCUGAGUCCUGUUCUCUUAAAGAAAGGCUCAAGAUACACAGAUUUUUAAAGGGAGUAUAAACACGCUAGUACCAUUCAAAUACAAUCAUGAAAGUCAUAUGAAAAAAAUGAAUGAAAACCAAAGUGCCAAUGUCUUUCAGCAUGAGUCUGUGUAUUAGCACAUGGCCCAGGGGACAGCCCAGAUCAAUGACCUGAGAUCAAUCUUCAUUCACCUCUCUUUUUUUCCCCAGGUUGAAACUGAGGAUCAUCAGUAUUUUCAGUGCCUGACAAUUUUCAAAGCCCAUCCGUUUUCCUCUGUUAGGUUACUGAGGAGUUACAAAGAUUCUAGAGGACACCCAGGCCUUUAGAGUCCAUGCUCAGGGCCUCCAGCUCCCCAACAACCUCUCCAGCCCUCCCUGGCCUCCUCUCACUCCCCACUGGGCUAGAGUAAAGCUUUAAAAGCA
This is a non-coding RNA of Rattus norvegicus (Norway rat), 3974 nucleotides long. NCBI's taxonomy places the organism in Eukaryota, Metazoa, Chordata, Mammalia, Rodentia, Muridae. The record is from RefSeq and is a predicted model, not a curated record.